This 403-nucleotide ribosomal RNA is filed under the name Verrucomicrobiota bacterium. RNAcentral's name for it is "Verrucomicrobia bacterium partial 16S ribosomal RNA". It matches the Rfam family "Bacterial small subunit ribosomal RNA", at positions 355 to 776 of the family's 1533-position model. Lineage: Bacteria; Pseudomonadati; Verrucomicrobiota. The record is from RNAcentral.
UGGGGAAUAUUGCACAAUGGGGGAAACCCUGAUGCAGCGACGCCGCGUGAGCGAAGAAGGCUUUCGAGUCGUAAAGCUCUGUCCUAUGAGAAGAUAAUGACGGUAUCAUAGGAGGAAGCCCCGGCUAAAUACGUGCCAGCAGCCGCGGUAAUACGUAUGGGGCGAGCGUUGUCCGGAAUUAUUGGGCGUAAAGGGUACGUAGGCGGUCUAUUAAGUCAGGUGUGAAAGCGUGAGGCUUAACCUCAUUAAGCACUUGAAACUGAUAGACUGGAGUGAAGGAGAGGAAAGUGGAAUUCCUAGUGUAGCGGUGAAAUGCGUAGAUAUUAGGAGGAAUACCGGUGGCGAAGGCGACUUUCUGGACUUUUACUGACGCUCAGGUACGAAAGCGUGGGGAGCAAACAGG